AUGGCUCAGAAUGGCAUACUCACCCCGAUCGCUACCCUCGUUGUAAAUGAGUUAUGGGAGCCGAUCAAGAAGCAUAUUGGCUACUGUCUGAAGCCUAAAACCAAUGUCAAGAAUCUAGCCAAAGCUGCUGAUGAAUUGAGGAACUCCAUACAUACCAUCGAGGAGACCAUUCAGUUAGGUGAACGCGAAGGCAAGAGACCGAAGGUACAAGUAACAAAGUGGACAGAGAGUGCUCAGUCUAUUGAAGCUGAAGCUUGCAGCAUCAGCAAUAAGUACCAGGCAAGGACCAUACAUAUCUUUCGCUGCUCCUGGAGUUGUUGGUCUAACUAUAAAAUUAGCAAAUCUGCUGCAAAAGUUAAAGCUGAUAUUGAAGAUAUUAACAAGAGAUCACUUCAAAAGGAUGAUAUAUUAAGUUUGCUCCCACCAGUUGGUUUGGAGUUGCCUUUACCAGCAAACAUCGUAGGCCAAGAACACUACAGAAACAAGGUUUUCGGUUGCAUUGAGGAAGGCCCUACCGACAUCAUUGGCAUAUGUGGCAUGGGAGGGUCAGGAAAAACUACUCUCCUUAAACAAAUCAACAACUAUUAUAGCUCUGAAAGGCCUGUAUUUGAUCAUGUCAUGUUUAUUGAAGUUGGCAAGCAGCUAAACUUGAUGGCAGUUCAGCAGAGCAUUGCAUCUGGACUAGGACUGUUGUUAACAAAUGAUGGAGAUGCAACACACAGAGCUAGAGCUAUUUUCAACUUUUUAAAGGAAAAGAAAUUCCUAUUGCUGAUUGAUGAUCUUUGGGAAAUGCUGGACCUAGUGAAAGUUGGUAUACCACAUGGUUCGAAGAAGUGUUGCCUUCAAAAUAGUCAGACUGUGGUGAUCACAACACGAUCUUUGGAUGUCUGUGGUAGAAUGCAAAUUUUUGAAAACGUUAUACAGUUGAAAUGCUUGAAUUCUGAUCAUUCGUGGCAGCUGUUUAAAGAGGUUGUUGGUGAAAGAAAGACGGAAGAUGCUCGAAUUAGGGGAUGUGCCAAGAAGAUUGCUGCAAAAUGUGGAGGUCUUCCACUAGCAAUUAAGAUAACUGGGCAGGCUAUGGCUUCCAAGGUAGCUUCAGAAGAAUGGGAAUACAGUUUGAUGUUAGUAGAAGAUUCAGUUUUCCAUGAGGUUUCUGGUUCAGAUAACGAACUCUUUCCUAUACUGAAAAUUAGUUAUGAUAGCUUGCAAAGUGAUGUGAUUAGAAUGUGCUUUCUACUAUUUGCGGGGACUACCGCACAACAUCCAGAUGAUGAUUGGGAUUCUAUUGGUUUAAUUCACAUUUGGAUGGGGCAUGGACUGCUAGGUGAGGAUGAUGAUAUUGAAAGAACUUACUUGAUUGGAUAUUCUAUUAUUGAAAUUUUGAAAAGAUCGUUCUUGCUUGAAUCCUCUGGCAGAGGGGAGAAACGUGUGAAAAUGCACCAUGUUGUUCAAGAUCUAGCCUUGUGGAUUGUAGCGACAAAACAGAACGGGAUGCGUAAAGAGAAGUGGCUGGUGGACCAAAGAGAACACACCCAACCAGACGUUUGGAGCACCGCUGAUAGAAUCUUCCUAUAUGGUGAUGAUAUUAAGACAAUUCCUAGUUCUUGCAGCUGCCCUGACCUGUUAACAUUAAUGAUAGCAAACAGUGAGCAUAUUUCUGAGUUCCCAGCUGGUUUUUUCUCUGCCAUGAAAUCACUCAAUUAUUUGGAUCUUUCUGGAAUACAGAUCCAAGAAAUACCAUCAGAAAUAGGAGCAUUAACGAGCUUGCAGUUCCUUACUCUUUCUCGGACACCAAUACAAUCAUUGCCAGAGGAGCUGGGGCAGUUGGAAGAUCUAAGGUACUUACAAUUGCAGAGCACCUUCCGUCUCAGAAAUAUACCAAAUGGUUUGCUAGCUAGACUGAAGAUGUUAAGGCGGUUAGAUUUAUAUCGAUGUCAUGAUUUGACAAUUGAUUACUCAGCACGAUAUAUCGAAGAACUCAAAAGUUUAACUAGGCUACGGGAUAUUAGUUUUACAGUACAAGAUUCAGACUCAAUGUGGAAGAUCUGUAACUUGCCCAGAGCCUUUGUAAGCGGCCUCUGCAUUAGAGCUCUUGAAGGCUUGCAAUCUCUUCAGAUAUCACCACUGCUCCUUGCAAGUAGCAAGGCUAGAUACAUGAAAGCUCUGUCACUGGAACACAUCAAUCUUUUGGAGGACAUAGUGAUAGGUCAGACAGAUAUAGACCCAGGUUGGUGCUUGCCAAGGCUAGAAACACUACUUCUAUAUAGUCUGGUAGCACUUCAGAGGGUUGAGUUUAAAGGUAUUGAACCCAACACUUGCCUUUCAGGCCUCAGGAGAAUAUCCAUCUCACAUUGCCACAAGUUGAUAUCCAUCACAUGGAUCACAUGGCUGCCUUGCCUCGAAAGUGUAUACUUGGGUGACUGUGACUCGAUAGUUGAGCUGGUGGGUAAAGAUGAAGAAGCUGUGCUAUCUGCCACAAGGUCCUUCCCUCGACUCAAGUCCAUGGCGUUACCUAAUCUGAAGAACCUACAUAGCAUCUGUGAUGGCAGAAUCACCUUCCCAUCAUUGAUGCGCUUGCUCGUUUAUGGAUGCCCCAUGCUAAUGAAGCUGCCACAGAACUUAGUGGGCGCCGAGAGUUCACCGCUGAUAUUUGGCGAGCGAAAAUGGUGGGAAAGUUUAGAAUGGGAGGAUGCUAGCUCACAGUCCUCUCUCCUUCCUUUCUUCAGAGAAGUGCCUGCAGGAUUCAGAGGAAGCCAACCAGAAGUGUUCAGGGCUUUACGUGCUUAG
RNAcentral lists this ribosomal RNA (2787 nucleotides) under Triticum aestivum (bread wheat). RNAcentral describes it as "partial small subunit ribosomal RNA". Lineage: Eukaryota; Viridiplantae; Streptophyta; Magnoliopsida; Poales; Poaceae. The record is from RNAcentral.